GGUAAUUUUCCGCAAUGGGCGAAAGCCUGACGGAGCAAUACCGCGUGAGGGAAGAAGGCUCUUGGGUUGUAAACCUCUUUUCUUAGGGAAGAAAAAAAUGACGGUACCUAAGGAAUAAGCAUCGGCUAACUCCGUGCCAGCAGCCGCGGUAAUACGGAGGAUGCAAGCGUUAUCCGGAAUGAUUGGGCGUAAAGCGUCCGCAGGUGGCAAGUCAAGUUUGCGGUUAAAGGCUCUGGCUCAACCAGAGACAGGCCGUGAAAACUGACUAGCUAGAGUAUGGUAGGGGCAGAGGGAAUUCCCAGUGUAGCGGUGAAAUGCGUAGAGAUUGGGAAGAACACCGGUGGCGAAAGCGCUCUGCUAGGCCAAAACUGACACUGAGGGACGAAAGCUAGGGGAGCGAAUGGGAUUAGAUACCCCAGUAGUCCUAGCCGUAAACGAUGGAUACUAGGUGUAGCUUGUAUCGACCCAAGCUGUGCCGUAGCUAACGCGUUAAGUAUCCC
RNAcentral lists this ribosomal RNA (500 nucleotides) under uncultured cyanobacterium. RNAcentral's name for it is "bacterial SSU rRNA". It matches the Rfam family "Bacterial small subunit ribosomal RNA", at positions 357 to 870 of the family's 1533-position model. The record is from RNAcentral. Lineage: Bacteria; Bacillati; Cyanobacteriota.